This 72-nucleotide transfer RNA is filed under the name Mycobacterium phage Phabba. RNAcentral's name for it is "tRNA-Gly". It matches the Rfam family "tRNA". From Rfam's summary of the family: Transfer RNA (tRNA) molecules are approximately 80 nucleotides in length. Lineage: Duplodnaviria; Heunggongvirae; Uroviricota; Caudoviricetes. The record is from RNAcentral.
GUGCUAUUAGUGAAAUGGCAUCACACGACUUUGCCAAGGUCGUAGCGCGGGUUCGAUUCCCGCAUAGCACUC